This is a long non-coding RNA of Oncorhynchus tshawytscha (Chinook salmon), 350 nucleotides long. The record is from Ensembl. Lineage: Eukaryota; Metazoa; Chordata; Actinopteri; Salmoniformes; Salmonidae.
GUGUCUAGUGGAGGAGCAACAGGCCGUAGGGGGAGGUGUCUAGUGGAGGAGCAACGGGCCGUAGGGGGAGGUGUCUAGUGGAGGAGCAACAGGCCGUAGGGGGAGGUGUCUAGUGGAGGAGCAACGGGCCGUAGGGGAGGUGUCUAGUGGAGGAGCCACGGGCCGUAGGGGGAGGUGUCUAGUGGAGGAGCAACAGGCCGUAGGGGGAGGUGUCUAGUGGAGGAGCAACGGGCCGUAGGGGGAGGUGUGCAGGGAAGACUGUAGCUUCCAGAAUGAAUCGUUCUAUGGCAGCCUCCUUGUAGGACAGGCAGAAACGGUGGGACAACUUUUUUCACAGGGUUGUUGGAAAA